Molecule: ribosomal RNA, 4464 nt
Filed under: Triticum aestivum (bread wheat)
Lineage: Eukaryota; Viridiplantae; Streptophyta; Magnoliopsida; Poales; Poaceae
Description: partial small subunit ribosomal RNA
Source: RNAcentral
AUGGAGGACCUCACCACCGCGCCGCCACCGCGGCACCGGGCGCGGAGGCACCGGAGGAAGGCGUCGGACUCGGCAACGUACGGGGACGUGUUCGGCGGGGGCCCGCGGUUCGCGCCCCCUGUCGCAGGGGCUCCGGCGGACUACGCGGACGUGUUCGGCGGCGUCGCGGCCUCCUGCUCCAUCCCGUACCUCGACCUGCCCCCGGCGGCAGCCGGGAGCGACGGCGGCGCGGGGAGGUACGGCGAGAUCUUCACGCGGGCCGGCUUCGGGGAGUACGCGGCGCCGUACGAGGACAUGUUCGCGGAGCCGGAGGGAAUGCCGGAGGAGAUCGAGUCCUGGAGCGGGAGCUCGAGAUCAUCAAUCAGAAAAGAAUCUGCUGAAAUGGAUGCUGAGCCAUCUCUACUCUAUCAACACUAUCCAAAUGUGGUCUAUGACCAACAGUUUGAUGAGGAACAGUUUUCUCCAAUCUCCUUUCCUCCAGAUGGUGAACAACAGUUCAACAUGUCAUAUAAUAAGGCAACCAGGGGAAGGCUAGAUGAUCUAGUUGAAAUGACUACUUGCAUGGUGGAGCCUUCAAUAAGUUACGUGGUUGACUCUUGUAAUUUGUCAAAUGAUUCAGCAACUAAUCAUGUUCCAGUAAUGCACAAUGGUGCACUUGCUAAUGGUGAAGAUAAGGAGAUGAGCCCACCACCACUCCCUGCAAGCGGUGAUUCUGUAGCUGAUGAGAAGCAGCAUAUUUCUCCCUGCCUUCCCAUUUAUGAAAAUCAUUAUGAAGAUAAAAAGGAUCACAGGAGGUCUAGCAUUCAUUCAGCAUCAAGUGAGGAAAACAAUGGUGCGACUGCUAAUGAUGAAAAUAAGGAGACUAGCCCACCACAACUCCCUGUAAAUGGUGAUCCUGUAACGGAUGAGAAGCAACAACAUAUCUCAACUUGUCUUCUCAAUUCUGAAAAUCUCCAUGAAGAUGAAAAGGACCACAAGAGAUCUAGCAGCACUCAUUCAGCAUCAAGUGAGGAAGUACCUUCCCCAGACUAUCCAUUCUUAAGGAUGUCCAACACCCACAUUCAAACACCGCCCAUCAAUGUACAACCACCAUCAAUCCUACCAUCUAAUUUUCUUAAUAAGAAGGAAAGCAAAUCUAACAGAGAUUCUGAGGUCAAUCCUAACUCUGCUGCUGCUGAUGCUAUAAAGGAAGCAACAAAUGUGAAGCAAAAUAUCUCAACUUGUCUUCUCAAUUCUGAAAAUCUCUAUGAAGAUGAAAAGGACCACAAGAGAUCUAGCACUCAUUCAGCAUCAAGUGAGGAAGUGCCUUCCCCAGACUAUCCAUUCUUAAGGGUGUCCAACACCCAUAUUCAAACACCGCCCAUCAAAGAAGCAAUGGAUUUUGCUGAAGCGAGGUUAAAAGCUGCAAAAGAACUGAUGGAGAGAAAAGGGGACAGUUUUAAACUUCGGAAGAGGCCAGGUCAUCAUAGAGGCACAAAAUCGACAGAAAUCAAGGAAGAUAAGGGUCCUGAAGAGGUGAAUAUAUUUGAAGAGAAGCUGACCUCAAGAAAGUUAGCAGAAGAGGAAAACUAUGAGAAUCUAAGUUUCCUGGAUAAACACAGAGGCAGUAGUGCAGUUAAGAUAGCAGACUGUUAUCAAGACGGAAAAGGGGUUCUAUCUCCAGGGAAGCCUCAGCAGAUAAUACAAAGUGACAGUAAACUUGAUCAACUAGGCAAGUGGGCAUCAGAUGCUGAAUUCUACGAUCUGGUUAGCCAUCAUCGGAAAUCUACAACUAGCACAGCUGCAUGUGAAGGUGAUAAUGGUCCGACAACAAAUCCCUUCACUAAGCAUGGCCAUUCUGAGAAAGUAAAAGAAGGGGUUAAUGCAGGGGAUUUGGAAAGAGAUGGGAAAUUGUCGGGUUGUAAUGAAAUAACAGAGCUGGGAAAUAUACAUGUAGAUCUUAUAGCAGAUGAUACCGCUGCUCUAGGGGUUGAACAUGAGGCUCCUACAGCUCCUGAAGGUUCACUAUGGGAGGAAAGGGUGGUAUACCAAGAAACAAACGAUUCUCAUAUCAAAGAACAUGUAGGGCAAAGCAAUUCUCCAAAAGGUCAUGAUGAUGAUGGAAUAUUUGAGGCUUCAUGUAUGAAUGGCAAACCUCCAAAGCUGCAUGUUGUUCCAGAUACAUCCAGUUUGUCUUUGAAGGUUUGUAUACAGGUAGACCAUGCCAAUGGUAACCAAAAUUGUUCUGAUGCUAGUACUGAGGAAACUCCACUAGUAGGAAAAUAUGACAAAGAAAACAACAAUAAAGAGGGACUUGAGAUUCCAUGUGCUGAUGAGACACUUUGCACUUCCGUAAGGAAUCAAAUAUCAGAUGAACAUCCGGAAGUUCCUCUAAUUGAUGAAAUUGAGACGAGUCAAGCGAAAGAAGCCACAAUAGAAGAGCCUGCAGAAUAUUAUGAAGACCAAUGGUCCCCGAAGAUGUCAAAUACAGUUCACAGGGAGGCUAAAACUUAUGGGGAAGACAAGAUGUUCAGUUUUGUUGAUGAAGCAUGCCUGCAAAGUGAACAAGAAAAAAUAGCUGAACUACCUUCAGAAAUGCUCAUCCAUAAAGAAAUGGAGAGAUUUGGAAUUGAGGAGAAAGAAAGCCUGCAUGAAGAUUCCCAAGAUGAAGAUGUAUACUGGGAUGCGGGAUCUCCUGAAAAGGAAACUAGUGUUACUUCUGAUACCGAUGCUAAUGAAAAUGACGAAGCAGAGGUGCUGAAUGUAUUUGUGGCAGACAGUGACUUGACGGAAAACAAUGUUAGAACAUGUGCUACUUCUGCCAAACACUCAGAUAAACUCCCAGAAUCUCAGGAGUCAUUAUUGGAACCUCAAGAGUUGGCAAACAAUAUGGAUAUAAUUGAGGAUUUUGUAUCCCAUGGUAACCAAAAAGAAGCAAAAAAUACCUUGUUAGGGAACAGUGAGACGACACUGGUGGAAAAAACCUUAAACCAUGAUAAGGAAGGCCAGACAUCUGCGGAAACUGGUGCCACCAGAGGGCUAAAUGAUGUAUAUGCAGAAAUAAUUGCAAAGAAUAAUAGGGUGGGUAAUGUACUUCAUUCUGGAGCUGAAGUUAUCACCGAUGAUUACAAUGAUCAUACCACAUGUUCUAAAGAUAUGCAUGCUUCAUUCUCAGAAGCAUGCGCUAGCAUGCAUCACUUGCCUCAAAAUGCUGAAUCUAUUUCUGCUCUGACGUCUGAUGAAAGCAUAUCUUUCCUUGUAAAUCUUGAAGAGAACUGCAUAAAAGCAGAUAGUGAAUAUUCGACAAUAAGAGACACAGCGUUACAAGGGAAAAAGACAGGCGGCAAAAUUGAAGAAGGAGAUGGCAAAGACAAAAUGUCGAGUGUAAAUUUGAAGGAUCAGCGAUCUUUUGGAGAGGAUAGUGCAUCAAAGUUUGUUCAGAAAUCAAGAAAAGAGACCUCUGAUGCCCAGAGAAUUGAAGGGAGAGAUGAUAUAAGAAAGGCAGAAAGUGAAAUUGAAAAGGAUGUCUCCCUAAGACCAGAUAAAGAUAAAGAAAGGGAAUACAAAAUGGAAAAAGAACAAAGUAAGGAGAAACCAAUAAGAGAACUAGAAGAAGAGAAGGAGAGGGAGAGGGAGCGGGCAAAAGAUAGGCUUGCUGUUCAGAGGGCUACAAGAGAAGCUCAUGAGAGGGCAUUUGCUGAGGCUCGUACAAAGGCUGAAAGAAUAGCAUUGGAAAGGAUUACCUCUUCACGACAAAGAGCGUCUGCAGAAGCACGAGCUAAAGAGAAGGCAAGUGAUGAAGCAGUUGCAGAGAAGGCUUCUAGAGAAGCUAGAAUAAAAGUGGAACGUGCAGCAGUCGAGAGAGCAACUGCAGAAGCUCGAGAGAGGGCAAUUGAAAAGGCAAAGGCUGCUGCAGAUGCUAAGGAGCGAAUAGAAAAGGCCAGGGUCCCAUUCAAAGAUAGUUUUAAGGCUACUAAUCAGGACACACAAUUUCAGAAGACAGCUUCUAACGAGCAUGGAAGAAGCACAGAUUCUUGCAAUCAAGCAUCUGAGUUUGAAUCAGCUCUAAGACACAAAGCAAGAUCCGAGAGGCACCAACGGACAGCUGAACGAGCGGAAAAAGCUCUAGCCGAAAAGAAUAUGCGGGACAUGCUGACUCAGAGGGAGCAAACAGAAAAACACAGAUUGGCUGAAUUCCUUGAUCCUGAAGUCAAGAGAUGGUCAAAUGGAAAGGAAGGAAAUCUGCGAGCAUUGCUCUCUACGUUGCAAUAUAUACUUGGUUCAGACAGUGGCUGGCAGUCAGUUCCCCUCACAGAUCUCAUUACAGCUGCUGCCGUGAAGAAAGCAUACAGGAAGGCAACCCUUUGUGUCCAUCCUGAUAAAUUACAACAAAGGGGUGCUACAAUCAGACAAAAGUACAUCUGUGAGAAGGUUUUUGAUCUUCUUAAGGAAGCUUGGAACAAGUUCAAUUCCGGAGAGCGCUAA